AGAGGGGGACAACAGUUGGAAACGACUGCUAAUACCGCAUACGAUCUAAUCUCGGCAUCGAGGAUAGAUGAAAGGUGGCCUCUACAUGUAAGCUAUCACUGAAGGAGGGGAUUGCGUCUGAUUAGCUAGUUGGAGGGGUAAUGGCCCACCAAGGCGAUGAUCAGUAGCCGGUCUGAGAGGAUGAACGGCCACAUUGGGACUGAGACACGGCCCAG
RNAcentral lists this ribosomal RNA (215 nucleotides) under uncultured bacterium. RNAcentral's name for it is "partial 16S ribosomal RNA". It matches the Rfam family "Bacterial small subunit ribosomal RNA", at positions 135 to 334 of the family's 1533-position model. The record is from RNAcentral.